Molecule: ribosomal RNA, 454 nt
Filed under: uncultured bacterium
Lineage: Bacteria
Description: partial 16S ribosomal RNA
Rfam family: Bacterial small subunit ribosomal RNA
Source: RNAcentral
GAUGAACGCUGACAGAAUGCUUAACACAUGCGAGUCAACUUGAACUUCGGUUUGGGUGGCGGACGGGUGAGUAACGCGUAAAGAACUUGCCUCACAGCUAGGGACAACAUUUGGAAACGAAUGCUAAUACCUGAUAUUAUGAUUAUAUGGCAUCGUAUAAUUAUGAAAGCUAUAUGCGCUGUGAGAGAGCUUUGCGUCCCAUUAGCUAGUUGGAGAGGUAACAGCUCACCAAGGCGAUGAUGGGUAGCCGGCCUGAGAGGGUGAUCGGCCACAAGGGGACUGAGACACGGCCCUUACUCCUACGGGAGGCAGCAGUGGGGAAUAUUGGACAAUGGACCGAGAGUCUGAUCCAGCAAUUCUGUGUGCACGAUGAAGUUUUUCGGAAUGUAAAGUGCUUUCAGUUGGGAAGAAAAAAAUGACGGUACCAACAGAAGAAGUGACGGCUAAAUACGUG